This 3371-nucleotide long non-coding RNA is filed under the name Cricetulus griseus (Chinese hamster). RNAcentral's name for it is "lncRNA (ENSCGRG00015030540.1)". Lineage: Eukaryota; Metazoa; Chordata; Mammalia; Rodentia; Cricetidae. The record is from RNAcentral.
CAGCAUCAUUAAUGGCCACAACACCACAGUGUAGCUAGAAAACUGUUUUUUUUUUUAUAUUUUACUGAAGAAAAGACCAAAGUGUUUUGACAAAUAUCAAGACAGGAAAAGAAGCAUCGGCUGAACAUGGAUUACAACUGUGAAAUGCAAGGUUUAUGACAUGCAAGCCUUCUGAGAAAAGCCACUUUGAAAGCUUCUUGGGUCACGGAUUUGCCUAUAUUAUGGGGCCAAAUCACAACCCUGGGUACAGAGGUGUCUCUUCCUCAUUAAAACAAAGACAAUGUAAAAGAUGCUCUCCAUAAUAGAGUUAUAAUGUCACUUCAGUAUCUUUUAAUUACCCAUCUACACAAAAGAUCUUAGAUCAAGCACAGGCUAAGUCAUAGUAACAUUUACAUCGAGUGUAAGGUUUAAAAAAAUAAUACAAAGUCCAUUCACAGUGCACAUGAAGACAUGGUUAAGUUUUAAAUAUUUAGAUAACAAAUAGCCAUGAUUGUUUAGAAGGUAAGCAUAUUUUUCAAGCACAUUUCCAUUUGUUACAGCAUGUGACAGUCUACCAUAUGCCAGUGUAGAGGGUGGAGAUACGCCAGCACCAUCAUCUCAUUUACUGGAAAAAAACCGAUACCAUAUUUCUUUUAUCAGAUAAAUACAUCUGAAAUAAAUAAAUACAAAACCAACUAGAAAUUUGCCUGUUAAGCCUGCACUCUUAAUUGUAUUAUUUUUGUUUUUGAGACAGGGCCUUCCUGUGUAGCGACUGCCUUUAACUCCUUAUAGUCCAGCUUCUGUCACCUGAGGACUGGGGUGACUGUAGUGUGCCACCAGGAGCCUACAUGUGACAUUCCAAAAUUGCAGUUAGGAAGCCCCACUCGCUGUGCUCCUAUGCACUUGCACACUGCUCAUUUCCAUUUGGAGACCAGGCAACCUGUGGGAGUGCACUGAGUACGGCCUGGAAAGUGGGGCUCAGAUGAGACUAGGAGUAAGACCCGGAAAGGCUGGCCGCUCCACCUGGUACUGCAGCCUGGCUGCUGUGCGGGUAAAGCUUGCUUCCUCCGGCUCAUGUUGUACAGACUGGGGCUUUAUAAUAGAUAGCCCGACCAGUUCAUUUUGCUUACCAUCUCCUUAAAAUCCCCUAGUUCUCCAAACAGAAUUUCGUUCACUCCAUUCUUUGCAAAUUUGGACGUGAGAAAUAAAUGAUUUCUUGUGCAGUUAGACUUAAACUUCUGUAUAUUAAGUUCCAGAACUACAGACAUGAUAGACAGACAGGGUCAACUGCUGGACUGAACUUUAUUUCCUUCCCACAGCUUCUGCAUUUAACAAAUACCUAGCUUUUAAGGGUGUGUGUGUGUGUGUGUGUGUGUGUGUGUGUGUGUGUGUGUGUGUAAAGGCAUGUUUAGCAUGAAACCAGGUUAAUAAUAACCCAUGGGGACGUGGGGAUGUGAAGAAUGACAGGGAUUUUUGGUAAUCUGCUUUUAAGUUGAAGUUACAAAUAUUGACCCCCUCAGGAAAUAAAGGUUCUCUUCCAUGAAAAAAAGUUAUACAAAGGGAUAUGAUGCCCCACAUCAGCCUUUUGCGUACGAGAAACCUGCAGCUUUCUCCUGCUGGUCUCAGCCAGGGCUCCCCUUAGCUAAUAUUCACCACGAUUCCACACCUAAAAGGGACACAAGGCACCUGAGCACUCCUGGCCUAGGAAACGAUGGACACUGUUCUUAGCUGCUGAGGUGAGGGUAGUACCUAAAUGUCUUGUCUGAUAAUUUAAAUACAAUACUUACUGAAUUUAUAGCUUCUGAAAUUUUUGCCUUCCAUACUGUCAGGAUUUCAGAGAAUCAUAAUGAUCUGUAUAUAUAUAUAUAUAUAUAUAUAUUAUAUAUAUAUAUAUUUUUUUUUUUAAAGUUAUGUGUGUGGGUAGAGAAUUGUUACUAAAAACAAUUCCAAGAAAAUUGCUUAUAAAAUUAACUGUGAACUAGAAAGUGCAAUACUGGGCAUUUUUACCAGCACAACAAAGCCUUAAUAAUAAAAAAAGUAGCAAGUGAAAGAGAUGUUUUAAGUAAAAUAUGGCAUAUUUGUUUGCUUUAAAGUCUUUUAACCAAUACAAUUUUAAAUAAAACACAUGACAAUAUUGUGAGGAUUACUACUGUAACUGAACUGCAGUGAAUUAAAUAGAAUUUUCAUAUUUAAGGGGUGGGUUACUGUUCUCCCACUUGUUAGAAUAAUUUUUAUUUAAAAUAGUGUCUGAUGGCCGUGCUGCAGCCUGACCUAGUUCAAAUGUUUGACUCUAAAUGAAAUUUGUCAGGUGAUUACCUUUAAUCUUCUCCAUCUUGGGUCAUAAUUCAAUGGGUCAACAGGAGAGACACAAUAUUUCCAGGAAGUCUGAUGUAAAGCACACAAUAUUAAAAAAGAAUCCAUUGCAAAUGGAUAUAGAGAGUGUAAAAACAGCAAUGGAUGUAAGCUGCUGCUAUUGGCUUCCAAGGCAAGUGUCUAAGCUGGUAACGGAAGGUUGAUGCUUCUGUCACUGAAUAUGCAUGGAACUGUCCAAUACAAGCUAACCUGUCUGAAACAUUAUUUGUAAACCAGCUUUCUUUCAUGUGGUGAACAUAAACUGAAUUACUACAGCCAACAGUCCAGGAUACAGAACACUGCAGACAGAUGAUGCUUAGCAGGCAACCGUUGCCAUAUAUACAAUUGACAUCUCUUAAAAAAUUACUAUAAGUUUUAUUCCAAAGCAACUACCAUUAUAAGUCUGAUGGCAUCCCUAAUGAAUUCCACUGGUGCCACCACAAAUAAGACUUGAGAGAUAACUUCCUUAUCUUUGAGGACUAAGCCUAAGGGCCAUGGCAAUCAUGUUUUCCCAAGGUCACAUCAGUACAAACACAGACUAUGGGGUCAUUUUCACAGUUCUUCUGCUCACGAGGCAGCUGGGGGCUGAAGUGCCUGUGACACACAUCAGUGACUUUUACCCUAUGACUUUAUUUUGCACUGAAAAGGUAGAACAGGAGAAAGGAGGCAGAACAAAAGACCGAAGUUCUCGUUCUUCCAAUGUAUGCAGAGGUGAUUAUGAGCAGGAUUCUGUAAAAAUAAAUCCAUUUGAGAAACUCAGAUUUGGCAAGACAAAUGAAAAGACUUAAGCAACUUUAUCACAGCAUGACUAAAAAAUUAAAGCUUAAUUGUUUGAAUCAACUAGAUUUAUUAAACUAUUUUUGCCAUAAAAUGGUAGCACAAUUUUACCAAACAAUAUGUAUAUAAACAUAUAACAGACUUCAUUUCUUUUUUCUCCAAUUUUUUCCUAACAUUUAUGUGUGUGUGUGUGUGUGUGUGUGUGUGUGUGUGUAUGUGUGUGUGUGUGUAUACUUGUGCCACAGUGUGGGUGUGAAAGCCAG